This 331-nucleotide ribosomal RNA is filed under the name uncultured eukaryote. RNAcentral's name for it is "partial 18S ribosomal RNA". It matches the Rfam family "Eukaryotic small subunit ribosomal RNA", at positions 1470 to 1796 of the family's 1831-position model. The record is from RNAcentral.
CCCUUAGAUGUUCUGGGCCGCACGCGCGCUACACUGACGAAGUCAGCGAGCAUGUCCUACGCCGACAGGUGCGGGGAAUCUUGUCAAACUUCGUCGUGAUGGGGAUUGAUUAUUGAAAUUCUUGAUCAUCAACGAGGAAUUCCUAAUAAGCGCAAGUCAGCAGCUUGCGUUGAUUACGUCCCUGCCCUUUGUACACACCGCCCGUCGCUACUACCGAUUGAAUGGUUUAGUGAGAUCUUCGGAUUGGCGCCACUGCGGCUCAGCAAUGGGCUCGGUGGAUGCCGAAAAGUUGAUCAAACUUGAUCAUUUAGAGGAAGUAAAAGUCGUAACA